UACGAAGGGGGCUAGCGUUGCUCGGAUUGACUGGGCGUAAAGGGCGCGUAGGCGGUUUGUACAGUCAGGCGUGAAAUUCCUGGGCUCAACCUGGGGGCUGCGUUUGAUACGUGCAGACUUGAGUUCGGAAGAGGGUCGUGGAAUUCCCAGUGUAGAGGUGAAAUUCGUAGAUAUUGGGAAGAACACCGGUGGCGAAGGCGGCGACCUGGUCCGAUGCUGACGCUGAGGCGCGAAAGCGUGGGGAGCAAACAGG
RNAcentral lists this ribosomal RNA (253 nucleotides) under uncultured bacterium. RNAcentral describes it as "partial 16S ribosomal RNA". It matches the Rfam family "Bacterial small subunit ribosomal RNA", at positions 524 to 776 of the family's 1533-position model. The record is from RNAcentral.